Molecule: ribosomal RNA, 253 nt
Filed under: uncultured bacterium
Lineage: Bacteria
Description: partial 16S ribosomal RNA
Rfam family: Bacterial small subunit ribosomal RNA
Source: RNAcentral
UACGUAGGGUGCGAGCGUUAAUCGGAAUUACUGGGCGUAAAGCGUGCGCAGGCGGUUGUGCAAGACAGAGGUGAAAUCCCCGGGCUUAACCUGGGAACUGCCUUUGUGACUGCACGGCUAGAGUGUGUCAGAGGGGGGUAGAAUUCCACGUGUAGCAGUGAAAUGCGUAGAGAUGUGGAGGAAUACCGAUGGCGAAGGCAGCCCCCUGGGAUAACACUGACGCUCAUGCACGAAAGCGUGGGGAGCAAACAGG